Molecule: long non-coding RNA, 375 nt
Organism: Chlorocebus sabaeus (green monkey)
Lineage: Eukaryota; Metazoa; Chordata; Mammalia; Primates; Cercopithecidae
Source: RefSeq, a predicted model, not a curated record
AUGACGUCCCUGUUUGGGGACAGGAAGCACCCGACUGACGGUCCCCACCGGGAAGUGACGAGAGACGUGAACUCAGGUACCUGCCCGGCCCUGCAGCCCCAGGACAGGUCUGGAUCAAACGUCACCUCCUCAGAGAGGCCCCUCCCUGGUCACCUUGCCCCCGCUUGGUUUACUUCUCUCUACUCCUUGGAUCCUCUGAGGCCAUGAGCCCAGGGCAGCGACCUCAUCUUUCCUCCCGCAGCAGUGCAGGGAGCACGAGCAUGGCACGCAGUAGGCGCGACCCCCAGCACAAGAGAGGCAGAGCAGACGCUUCGGUUCCUGGAGCACCGCCCACAGCCUCCUGGCUGGGAAAUGGCUUCUGUGUCACCCACUGGA